GCUGAUGGUGUAGGGGUUAAGCAUGACCAUGUACAGAGGCUACAGUCCUCGAAGCGACUGUCCCGGGUUCAAGACCCGGACCCGGCAACA
Ataeniobius toweri is the source of this 90-nucleotide non-coding RNA. NCBI's taxonomy places the organism in Eukaryota, Metazoa, Chordata, Actinopteri, Cyprinodontiformes, Goodeidae. The record is from the annotation of a GenBank genome assembly.